GCAGCUUAUGACCUUGAGUUUGCUCACGUGAUGUUUCUUUCCUUUUCUAUCACUGUGGGAAGUUUUUCUAACACAACAAAGUGAUAGUUUUGUUACUAGCUCAAAUUAACUAAACUUGGCAUUAACUGGCUGAAUCAGAGGGAUGAAAUGAUUGGAUAUGUUGAUGAAAGGUGAUAAGACAGAUCAAUGGACAAUGCCCAAAGUAAGACACUGAGAAAUGGCCAAAUUAAGAGGUAUGCUCGUGACGGGUCUGUUGAAUAUGCUGAUAGGAUAAAAUAUGGACAAUACGUUGACUGCAGAGAGACCAAUCUGAAAGCAAAGAGUCAUCAAAGGAGUGAAGUUAAAGGAAAGCAUAAAAGCAAGGAAGUUAAGUGUGGCAUUGUCAUCAUUGUCAUAAACCAGCCUUCAAUAUCUGUCUGGACCAUCCCAGCCAACAAUGCACCCUUUGCUUCAUGAACAGAGUGGCCGUCUUUUCCAAGCAAAGUAACAGCUUGGAUUUGCUCUGCUUCUCCAUGUGUGAAAAUCCCUGAACAAAAACAAGACUUUGUGGCUGAAACCCACCUGCUCUCCUGACUCCUCUCUCUGGCUGUUCUGCAGCCUGCAUGGCAGAAGGCUGCUACAAAGUGGCCAUCAUGGCUUCCUGCUCUCCUGGACUCCCUGGUUCGCUCGCAGCAGCUGUUAUGCUGGUACCCUUGGAGACCAAGAUUUCCAAGUCCUUGGCCACCUCCUGGGACAGAUAUACAACUCCAGAUGGACAGACAGAGUUUCUCAGGGGGUUGUGACCUAACUCCCUAGAUGCCUCCAGGGAAUAGGCUAGAACAGUCAGAAGAAGCAGAGGCCAGUGGAGCAGCAAGGGUGAUGUCCCUCUACCUGGUUGCAGCACUGUCCCACAAUAAGGGAGAUCCAGUUUUGAUGUUCCCUUCUGAAUGGAGGGAUCUGAGCCCACAUAGUGUUCUGGGAAGUGAUGUGUUCCCUUUCCUGCUGACUCUAUUUCAAAGCUAUACAGGGACAAUGAUUCUCUGUCCUACUGAUUAGGGCAGGGGUUUUCAACCUUUUUUUUUUAAUGAGCGUACGCCCUCUCUCUCAAAGUUUCAGCCCAUGUACCCCAUUAUAUUUUCUCUUGUUUGUAAGGGGCAGGAAGGGGGCAGAUUGAUGCCUCCGCGGUGAGGAAGGGAGUGGGGCUGGGGCUGGGGCUUGGGCUGGGGCUGCACAGCUGAGGCGGAGCAUGGCAUGGAGCUGUGAACAUCUCGUCCAGGGGGUAAAGGGAGGGGGGGUGACUCCCACCACUGCACACACCCCAGGAUGGCAUGUGGGGCACAUGCCCCCAGAUCUGUGUGAAGGGCAGGGCACACUGGCCCAGCAGUGGGGGAGGGAGUGGGGCUGGGGCAGGGGCAGGGACUGCCUAGCCAGGGUGAGGAGAGGGACAGUUGUGCAGGGGGUGGCCCCCGCCACUACAGGCACCCCUGGGAAGGCAUGGGGGGCAUGUGCCCCUGGAUCUAUGUGCAGGGCAGGGUGGGCUGCCACUGUGGGCUGGGGACAGUACUCGGCUCUUCCGGGAGGUGGGGAGGCUGGGUUGGGCUACACUUGGGGAGGGUGGUAGUGGUGCUGGGAGAGGGGGCCAGGGGACUACAGCAAAUUCUGGAGUGGCUGCAGCCCCUCCCAUAGCCCCCUCACAGUGCCACCACCACC
Alligator mississippiensis (American alligator) is the source of this 1689-nucleotide long non-coding RNA. RefSeq lists it as uncharacterized. The transcript is spliced from 5 exons. The record is from RefSeq and is a predicted model, not a curated record. NCBI's taxonomy places the organism in Eukaryota, Metazoa, Chordata, Crocodylia, Alligatoridae.